AAGUCCCAUCUGUCUGCCUCUUU
RNAcentral lists this microRNA (23 nucleotides) under Rattus norvegicus (Norway rat). RNAcentral's name for it is "Rno-Mir-1962-P1_5p* (star (passenger))". The record is from RNAcentral. Lineage: Eukaryota; Metazoa; Chordata; Mammalia; Rodentia; Muridae.